CAGUAGCCACGGGAAUACGAAGGGGGCUAGCGUUGCUCGGAACGACUGGGCGUAAAGGGCGCGUAGGCGGAUUGUUUAGUUAGACGUGAAAUUCCUGGGCUUAACCUGGGGACUGCGCUUAAUACAGGCAGUCUAGAGUGAGGAAGAGGGCUGUGGAAUUCCCAGUGUAGAGGUGAAAUUCGUAGAUAUUGGGAAGAACACCGGUGGCGAAGGCGGCAACCUGGUCCUUGACUGACGCUGAGGCGCGAAAGCGUGGGGAGCAAACAGGAUUAGAGACCCCCGUAGUCCCUGUCUCUUAUAC
This 301-nucleotide ribosomal RNA is filed under the name uncultured bacterium. RNAcentral describes it as "partial 16S ribosomal RNA". It matches the Rfam family "Bacterial small subunit ribosomal RNA", at positions 509 to 807 of the family's 1533-position model. The record is from RNAcentral.